This is a non-coding RNA of Taeniopygia guttata (zebra finch), 650 nucleotides long. NCBI's taxonomy places the organism in Eukaryota, Metazoa, Chordata, Aves, Passeriformes, Estrildidae. The record is from RefSeq and is a predicted model, not a curated record.
UUGGGGUGGAUUUGGGGCUCUCUGCAGGUUUAACAUUUCCAUUGUCUCGCAGCCCCUCGGGGCUGAUUUUUGGGGUGGAUUUAGGUUGAAUUUUGGGUGGAUUUGGGGUGGAUUUGGGAUUUCUGCAGCUUUAACGUUUCCAUUGUCUCUCAGCCCUCGGGGCUGGAUUUUGGGGUGGAUUUGGGGUGGAUUUGGGUAUUUCUGCAGCUUUAACGUUUCCAUUGUCUCUCAGCCCCUCGGGGCUGGAUUUUGGGGGGGAUUUGGGGUGAAUUUUGGGUGGAUUUUGGGGUGGAUUUGGGGUGGAUUUCGGGAUUUCUGCAGGUUUAACAUUUCCAUUGUCUCUCAGCCCCUCGGGGCUGGUUUUUGGGGUGGGUUUGGGGUGGAUUUUGCAGCUUUAUCAUUUCCAUUGUCUCUCAGCCCCUCGGGGCUGGUUUUUGGGGUGGAUUUGGGGUGGAUUUUCGGGAUUUCUGCAGGAUGAAUGUUUCCACUGUCUCUCAGCCCCUCGGGGCUGGAUUUUGGGGUGGAUUUGGGGUGGAUUCUGCAGCUUUAACGCUUCCCUUCUCCCCCAGCGCCCUCGGGAGCCGCGGAGCCGCCGGGCGGGGCAGGCAGAGAGGGCGGGGCCGCGCACAAUGCGGCGAGGUCACAGUGCA